This 468-nucleotide ribosomal RNA is filed under the name uncultured bacterium. Its description in RNAcentral is "partial 16S ribosomal RNA". It matches the Rfam family "Bacterial small subunit ribosomal RNA", at positions 28 to 507 of the family's 1533-position model. The record is from RNAcentral.
GACGAACGCUGGCGGCGUGCUUAACACAUGCAAGUCGAACGGAAAGGCCCUGCUUUUGUGGGGUGCUCGAGUGGCGAACGGGUGAGUAACACGUGAGUAACCUGCCCUUGACUUUGGGAUAACUUCAGGAAACUGGGGCUAAUACCGGAUAGGAGCUCCUGCUGCAUGGUGGGGGUUGGAAAGUUUCGGCGGUUGGGGAUGGACUCGCGGCUUAUCAGCUUGUUGGUGGGGUAGUGGCCUACCAAGGCUUCGACGGGUAGUCGGCCUGGGAGGGUGAACAGCCACCUUGGGACUGAGGUACGGCCCAGACUCCUACGGGAGGCAGCAGUGGGGAAUAUUGCACAAUGGGCGGAAGCCUGAUGCAGCAACGCCGCGUGCGGGAUGACGGCCUUCGGGUUGUAAACCGCUUUCGCCUGUGACGAAGCGUGAGUGACGGUAAUGGGUAAAGAAGCACCGGCUAACUACGUG